CACCCGUCCCGUGCGUCCCCGGA
Molecule: microRNA, 23 nt
Filed under: Equus caballus (horse)
Lineage: Eukaryota; Metazoa; Chordata; Mammalia; Perissodactyla; Equidae
Also listed under: 2 other names
Description: Eca-Mir-1247-v2_5p (mature (guide))
Source: RNAcentral